Gasterosteus aculeatus aculeatus (three-spined stickleback) is the source of this 851-nucleotide long non-coding RNA. NCBI's taxonomy places the organism in Eukaryota, Metazoa, Chordata, Actinopteri, Perciformes, Gasterosteidae. The record is from Ensembl.
GGGGGUUUUCCGCCCCUGAACAAAGCACAACCAUCCAUACAGUCGGCGUGGAGGGUGAAUACAGCGAAAAGAUUCACGAGCAACCCGAAGCUCUGCAGCUUUAAGAAGUUUGCACACUUGAGCAGCUGGCAGCGAGCCACUUGGCCAACAUAAACAGCCCUAAUCCUUUUUCCAAGGAGCUUUCAACACUCAUCUCUCUGGCACAACGGCCACUGACUCACCCUCUCCCUCCUUCUCUCUCUCUCUAUCUCUCUCUCCCUCUCUGACAUUCCUGCCUGUUCCGAGGUCUGCAGGACCGUCACCAGGAGGCACUGUGGCCCUUGCUAUGCAAAGGCUGCUGGGUUCAUGCUGUUGGUCACCAUUCACUGCUAAGGCUGCUGAGCUCUGGAGCUGUUGGACAGCGGCCACGCGUUGAUCUCAUUUGGACGGGCUUUUGCCUGGGACGAGUCCAAACCCAAACAGCCGAGGGAAGGACCACAACAGGGUGUCUUAUUGAAAGAGGAUCCACAUGCUCGGGGCAAAUCGAAUUUAGUGCUCUGCUGUAGGAAGUGAUUGGCGAUGGAUUAGAUGGUAUUAGGUAACAAAAGACUUGAAUUAACUUGCUGUCAAAUCAAUAACAGUCUCCCUCUCCUCCUCUCUCCAUGGCCCACUCGUUCUGUGUGUAUUUUCCUUACAUACUGUCUACAUAUACAUAGAUAUAGAUAUGUAUGUACAUACAUAGCAGAGGUUCCUAACAUGCAAGAUGACAGUAACCCCUGGUUGCAGGGAUGGAGCUUUAACACACGUUAAUUUCCAUCUCACUGCUACUGUGACUUUAUUUUAAAAGUCACACUACAUCAAAUGAAUUCACU